This 930-nucleotide ribosomal RNA is filed under the name uncultured bacterium. RNAcentral describes it as "bacterial SSU rRNA". It matches the Rfam family "Bacterial small subunit ribosomal RNA", at positions 17 to 952 of the family's 1533-position model. The record is from RNAcentral.
UCAUGGCUCAGGACGAACGCUGGCGGCGUGCUUAACACAUGCAAGUCGAGCGGGGAUUGAAGGAGUGCUUGCACGAAUUCAAUUCUAGCGGAGGACGGGUGAGUAACGCGUGAGCAAUCUGUCCUACACAGGGGGAUAACAACUGGAAACAGUUGCUAAUACCGCAUAAGACCACGAGGUCGCAUGGCUUUGAGGUAAAAGAUUUAUCGGUGUAGGGUGAGCUCGCGUCUGAUUAGCUAGUUGGUGAGGUAACGGCCCACCAAGGCGACGAUCAGUAGCCGACCUGAGAGGGUGAUCGGCCACAUUGGAACUGAGACACGGUCCAGACUCCUACGGGAGGCAGCAGUGGGGAAUAUUGGGCAAUGGGCGCAAGCCUGACCCAGCAACGCCGCGUGAAGGAAGAAGGUUUUCGGAUUGUAAACUUCUGUCCUAAGUGACGAACACAAUGACGGUAGCUUAGGAGGAAGCCCCGGCUAACUACGUGCCAGCAGCCGCGGUAAUACGUAGGGGGCAAGCGUUGUCCGGAAUGACUGGGCGUAAAGGGCGUGUAGGCGGCUUUUUAAGUGUGAAGUGAAAGUCCUGCUUUCAAGGUGGGAACUGCUUUGCAAACUGGAGAGCUUGAGUGCGGAAGAGGUAAGUGGAAUUCCCAGUGUAGCGGUGAAAUGCGUAGAGAUUGGGAGGAACACCAGUGGCGAAGGCGACUUACUGGGCCGUAACUGACGCUGAGGCGCGAAAGCGUGGGGAGCGAACAGGAUUAGAUACCCUGGUAGUCCACGCUGUAAACGAUGAAUGCUAGUGUAGCGGGUAUCGACCUCUGCUGUGCCGCAGUAAACACAAUAAGCAUUCCGCCUGGGGAGUACGGGCCGCAAGGUUGAAACUCAAAGGAAUUGACGGGGGCCCGCACAAGCAGCGGAGCAUGUUGUUUAAUUC